Molecule: ribosomal RNA, 434 nt
Filed under: uncultured bacterium
Lineage: Bacteria
Description: partial 16S ribosomal RNA
Rfam family: Bacterial small subunit ribosomal RNA
Source: RNAcentral
AGCGAACGCUGGCGGCAGGCCUAACACAUGCGAGUCGAACGCUCCUUUCGGGGUUAGUCUCGGCUGGGUGGGUAACCCGACGGAACAUGACCGUAGGUUUGGCCUACCUUAGGGCAACUUGUGCUAAUACCGAAUGUUCCCUUCGGCGGCAUGAUUUUUCACCUUUAGAGUCGUUUACGUCUGAUUAGCUAGUUGGUUGAGGUAAUGGCUCACCAAGGCGACGAUCAGUAGCUGGUCUGUGAGGAUGAUCCGCCACAUUGGGACUGAGACACGUUCCGAACUCCUACGGGAGGCAGCAGUGGGGAAUCUUGCGCGAUGGGCGAGAGCCUGACGCAGCCAGGCCGCGUGGAUGAUGAAUGUCUUAAGAUUGUAAGAGUCUUUCACCGGUGACGAUAAUGACGGUACCCGGAGAAGAAGCGACGGCUAACUUCGUG